RNAcentral lists this ribosomal RNA (301 nucleotides) under uncultured bacterium. RNAcentral's name for it is "partial 16S ribosomal RNA". It matches the Rfam family "Bacterial small subunit ribosomal RNA", at positions 509 to 809 of the family's 1533-position model. The record is from RNAcentral.
CAGUAGCCGCGGGAACACGAAGGGGGCUAGCGUUGUUCGGAAUUACUGGGCGUAAAGCGCACGUAGGCGGAUAUUUAAGUCAGGGGUGAAAUCCCAGAGCUCAACUCUGGAACUGCCUUUAAUACUGGGUAUCUUGAGUAUGGAAGAGGUGAGUGGAAUUCCGAGUGUAGAGGUGAAAUUCGUAGAUAUUCGGAGGAACACCAGUGGCGAAGGCGGCUCACUGGUCCAUUACUGACGCUGAGGUGCGAAAGCGUGGGGAGCAAACAGGAUUAGAUACCCGCGUAGUCCCUGUCUCUUAUAU